GGGUCAGUAGGUUGGUCGUGCCACCGGUACGUACUGGUCUCACUGAUCCCUCCUUCCUGAAGAACCGUAAUGCCAUUAAUUGGGUGUUGCGGGGAAACAGGACUGUUACUUUGAAAAAAUUAGAGUGUUUAAAGCAAGCUAACGCUUGAAUACAUUAGCAUGGAAUAAUGAAAUAGGACGAUCGAUCCUAUUUUGUUGGUUUCUAGGAUUGACGUA
RNAcentral lists this ribosomal RNA (216 nucleotides) under Glomeromycotina sp. Its description in RNAcentral is "partial small subunit ribosomal RNA". The stretch from base 87 to 216 matches the Rfam family "Eukaryotic small subunit ribosomal RNA", at positions 733 to 864 of the family's 1831-position model. Lineage: Eukaryota; Fungi; Glomeromycota. The record is from RNAcentral.